Molecule: ribosomal RNA, 342 nt
Filed under: Triticum aestivum (bread wheat)
Lineage: Eukaryota; Viridiplantae; Streptophyta; Magnoliopsida; Poales; Poaceae
Description: partial small subunit ribosomal RNA
Source: RNAcentral
AUGGGCACGCGGGAGUACUACGACUACCGGCGGGCCAUCUACGGCGACAUCACGCACAAGGCCAUCCUCGUCGACGCCGCCGGCACCCUCCUCGCCCCCACCGAGCCCAUGGCCCAGAUAUUUAACUGCAUUAGUGAAUGUUCUGGGUCUGAUACAGCAGCUAAGCUUAGGGAUAAGCUGGUCAAUGCAGGAAAAUCUAAAAGAAAGCGACUAAAAUCAACAUUUGAAGCUCGAGCAAUUUACAGAAUCUUCUACUUUAAUAAGCAUGAGCUGGCGGGGCAUAUGGAAGAUAUCCCAUGGGCCAGCAGCUGGAGCCUGGAAGCGGAUGUUAAUGCUCCAUAG